Molecule: ribosomal RNA, 270 nt
Filed under: uncultured archaeon
Lineage: Archaea
Description: partial 16S ribosomal RNA
Rfam family: Archaeal small subunit ribosomal RNA
Source: RNAcentral
CAGCACCUCAAGUGGUCAGGAUGAUUAUUGGGCCUAAAGCAUCCGUAGCCGGCGCUGUAAGUUUUCGGUUAAAUCUGUACGCUCAACGUACAGGCUGCCGGGAAUACUGCAGCGCUAGGGAGUGGGAGAGGUAGACGGUACUCGGUAGGAAGGGGUAAAAUCCUUUGAUCUAUUGAUGACUACCUGUGGCGAAGGCGGUCUACCAGAACACGUCCGACGGUGAGGGAUGAAAGCUGGGGGAGCAAACCGGAUUAGAUACCCGAGUAGUCC